CCGAGUUAUACAACUCAUCAACCCCUGUGAACAUACCUAUACGUUGCUUCGGCGGGAUCAGACGCGCCCCGUAACAACGGGCCGGCCCCGCCGCAGGAUCCACUAACUCUGUUUUUAUAUGUAACUUUCUGAGUAACAAACAAAUAAAUUA
This 151-nucleotide unclassified non-coding RNA is filed under the name soil metagenome. RNAcentral's name for it is "partial internal transcribed spacer 1". The record is from RNAcentral.